RNAcentral lists this ribosomal RNA (522 nucleotides) under uncultured haloarchaeon. RNAcentral describes it as "bacterial SSU rRNA". It matches the Rfam family "Archaeal small subunit ribosomal RNA", at positions 1 to 526 of the family's 1478-position model. Lineage: Archaea; Methanobacteriati; Methanobacteriota; Halobacteria; Halobacteriales; Halobacteriaceae. The record is from RNAcentral.
AUUCCGGUUGAUCCUGCCGGAGGACAUUGCUAUUGGGAUUCGAUUUAGCCAUGCUAGUCGAGCGAGUUUAGACUCGCGGCGAAUAGCUCAGUAACACGUGGCCAAGCUCCUCUUCAGUCAGCGAUACCCUCGGGAAACUGAGGUUAACAGCUGAUACAAAACGCCAGCUGGAAUGCGGCGUUUCAGAAAGACAUCGCUGAAGGAUGCGGCUGCGGCCGAUUAGGUAGACGGUGGGGUAACGGCCCACCGUGCCAGUAAUCGGUACGGGUGAUGAGAGUCAGAGCCCGGAGACGGAAUCUGAGACAAGAUUCCGGGCCCUACGGGGCGCAGCAGGCGCGAAACCUUUACACUGCACGGAAGUGCGAUAGGGGAAUCCCAAGUGCGAGGGCAUAUUAGCCCUCGCUUUUCUCGACUGUAAGGUGGUCGACGAAUAAGAGCUGGGCAAGACCGGUGCCAGCCGCCGCGGUAAUACCGGCAGCUCAAGAGAUGUCCCAUAUUAUUGGGCCUAAAGCGUCCGUAGCU